RNAcentral lists this ribosomal RNA (497 nucleotides) under uncultured bacterium. RNAcentral describes it as "partial 16S ribosomal RNA". It matches the Rfam family "Bacterial small subunit ribosomal RNA", at positions 28 to 507 of the family's 1533-position model. The record is from RNAcentral.
GAUGAACGCUGGCGGCGUGCCUAAUACAUGCAAGUCGAGCGGACGGACGAGAAGCUUGCUUUUCUGAUGUUAGCGGCGGACGGGUGAGUAACACGUGGAUAACCUACCUAUCAGACUGGGAUAACUUCGGGAAACCGGCGCUAAUACCGGAUAAUAUUUUGAACCGCAUGGUUCAGAAGUGAAAGACGGUCUUGCUGUCACUUAUAGAUGGAUCCGCGCUGCAUUAGCUAGUUGGUAAGGUAACGGGCUACCAAGGCAACGAUGCAUAGCCGACCUGGGAGAGUGGUAGGCCACACUGGAACUGAAACACGGUCCAGAGGCCUACGGGAGGCAGCAGUAGGGAAUGUUCCGCAAUGGGCGAAAGCCUGACGGAGCAACGCCGCGUGAGUGACGACGGUCUUCGGAUCGUAAAACUCUGUUAUUAGGGAAGAACCUCUGUGUAAGUAAAUGUGGACAUAGUGACGGUACCUAAUCAGAAAGCCACGGCUAACUACGUG